CAGACUCCUCGGCCGCCAUCCUGCCCCUCCGUCAGGUUGCUCCACCACCGGGUGGAGACCAGACUCAGCCCUUCAUGGUCUGUGUCCCCUUCUCGACUAGUGAUCUGUAUAAUUGGAAACAACGGAACCCCUCCUUCUCUGAUAAACCCCAAGGUUUCAUCUCUCUCCUAGAGACAGUCUUCCACACCCAUCAGCCCACUUGGGAUGACUGUCAGCAAUUGUUGCAGGUCCUGUUCACGUCUGAGGAGAGGGACAGGGUCCACAGAGAGGCAGCAAAAUCCGUCCUCGGGACAGAUGGCCAACCCCUCACGAAUCUGGCCCAACUAGAGGCCCACCUCCCUACCCUCGAACCCGAUUGGGACCCGAACACCUAUCAAGGUAAGGAGGCUUUAGCCCAGUACCGCCGAUCUCUACUCGGGGCCUCCGCGGAGCUGCUAGAAGGCCAACUACUCUAAGCUCUUUGCAGGCAAUCCAGAGGCUGCAAGAACAGACCCAACAGCUAAUCAAGGACGCCAGACCCCAACCAGGGACACCCCAGAUACCACCGCACGACUUCACCCCUGGUGACUGGGUCAAGAAACAUCAACCUGCUUCCCUGGAGCCUUGCUGGACUGGCCCUUUUCCUGUUAUCCUGAUGACGCCCACGGCUUUGAAGGUAGCAGGACGGAAAGUUUGGAUUCACCACACUCAGAGAAAGCACACCCUGAGCAAAUACCUGAACAAGGGGCCUUACAGCGGACCGAGGAUCCC
This is a long non-coding RNA of Molossus molossus (Pallas's mastiff bat), 750 nucleotides long. RefSeq lists it as uncharacterized. NCBI's taxonomy places the organism in Eukaryota, Metazoa, Chordata, Mammalia, Chiroptera, Molossidae. The record is from RefSeq and is a predicted model, not a curated record. The transcript has 3 exons.